Molecule: ribosomal RNA, 278 nt
Filed under: uncultured Staphylococcus sp.
Lineage: Bacteria; Bacillati; Bacillota; Bacilli; Caryophanales; Staphylococcaceae
Description: partial 16S ribosomal RNA
Rfam family: Bacterial small subunit ribosomal RNA
Source: RNAcentral
CCUUUGACGUUAGCGGCGGACGGGUGAGUAACACGUGGGUAACCUACCUAUAAGACUGGGAUAACUUCGGGAAACCGGAGCUAAUACCGGAUAAUAUUUCGAACCGCAUGGUUCGAUAGUGAAAGAUGGUUUUGCUAUCACUUAUAGAUGGACCCGCGCCGUAUUAGCUAGUUGGUAAGGUAACGGCUACCAAGGCGACGAUACGUAGCCGACCUGAGAGGGUGAUCGGCCACACUGGAACUGAGACACGGUCCAGACUCCUACGGGAGGCAGCAGGC